Molecule: ribosomal RNA, 508 nt
Filed under: fungal endophyte
Lineage: Eukaryota; Fungi
Description: eukaryotic LSU rRNA
Rfam family: 5.8S ribosomal RNA (bases 161-314)
Source: RNAcentral
GAGGGAUCAUUACCGAGUUUACAACUCCCAAACCCCUGUGAACAUACCUAUACGUUGCCUCGGCGGAUCAGCCCGCGCCCCGUAAAACGGGACGGCCCGCCCGAGGACCCUAAACUCUGUUUUUAGUGGAACUUCUGAGUAAAACAAACAAAUAAAUCAAAACUUUCAACAACGGAUCUCUUGGUUCUGGCAUCGAUGAAGAACGCAGCAAAAUGCGAUAAGUAAUGUGAAUUGCAGAAUUCAGUGAAUCAUCGAAUCUUUGAACGCACAUUGCGCCCGCCAGUAUUCUGGCGGGCAUGCCUGUUCGAGCGUCAUUUCAACCCUCAAGCUCAGCUUGGUGUUGGGACUCGCGGUAACCCGCGUUCCCCAAAUCGAUUGGCGGUCACGUCGAGCUUCCAUAGCGUAGUAAUCAUACACCUCGUUACUGGUAAUCGUCGCGGCCACGCCGUAAAACCCCAACUUCUGAAUGUUGACCUCGGAUCAGGUAGGAAUACCCGCUGAACUUAAG